GGGAAUUUUGGACAAUGGGGGAAACCCUGAUCCAGCCAUCCCGCGUGUGCGAUGAAGGCCUUCGGGUUGUAAAGCACUUUUGUCAGGGAAGAAAAGGUUUCGGAUAAUACCCGGAACUGAUGACGGUACCUGAAGAAUAAGCACCGGCUAACUACGUGCCAGCAGCCGCGGUAAUACGUAGGGUGCAAGCGUUAAUCGGAAUUACUGGGCGUAAAGCGUGCGCAGGCGGUUCGGAAAGAAAGAUGUGAAAUCCCAGGGCUCAACCUUGGAACUGCAUUUUUAACUACCGAACUAGAGUAUGUCAGAGGGGGGUGGAAUUCCACGUGUAGCAGUGAAAUGCGUAGAUAUGUGGAGGAACACCGAUGGCGAAGGCAGCCCCCUGGGAUAAUACUGACGCUCAUGCACGAAAGCGUGGGGAGCAAACAGGAUUAGAUACCCUGGUAGUCCACGCCCUAAACGAUGUCAACUAGCUGUUGGGCCCUUCGGGGCUUAGUAGCGCAGCUAACGCGUGAAGUUGACCGCCUGGGGAGUACGGUCGCAAGAUUAAAACUCAAAGGAAUUGACGGGGACCCGCACAAGCGGUGGAUGAUGUGGAUUAAUUCGAUGCAACGCGAAAAACCUUACCUACCCUUGACAUGUCUGGAAUCCUGAAGAGAUUUAGGAGUGCUCGCAAGAGAACCGGAACACAGGUGCUGCAUGGCUGUCGUCAGCUCGUGUCGUGAGAUGUUGGGUUAAGUCCCGCAACGAGCGCAACCCUUGUCAUUAGUUGCUACAUUUAGUUGAGCACUCUAAUGAGACUGCCGGUGACAAACCGGAGGAAGGUGGGGAUGACGUCAAGUCCUCAUGGCCCUUAUGGGUAGGGCUUCACACGUCAUACAAUGGUCGGGACAGAGGGUUGCCAAACCGCAAGGUGGAGCUAAUCUCAUAAACCCGAUCGUAGUCCGGAUUGCAGGCUGCAACUCGCCUGCAUGAAGUCGGAAUCGCUAGUAAUCGCGGAUCAGCAUGUCGCGGUGAAUA
Molecule: ribosomal RNA, 1017 nt
Filed under: Advenella sp. BE246
Lineage: Bacteria; Pseudomonadati; Pseudomonadota; Betaproteobacteria; Burkholderiales; Alcaligenaceae
Description: bacterial SSU rRNA
Rfam family: Bacterial small subunit ribosomal RNA
Source: RNAcentral